GAUGAAGAACGUAGCGAAAUGCGAUAAGUAAUGUGAAUUGCAGAAUUCAGUGAAUCAUCGAAUCUUUGAACGCACCUUGCGCUCCUUGGUAUUCUGAGGAGCAUGCCUGUUUGAGUAUCAUAAAAUUGUCAACUGUGUCACCUUUAUAGUGAUUUACAGAUUGGAUAUGGGAGUUUUUGCAGGCCUAGUUUGUCAGCUCUCCUGAAACACAUUAGCAGUGCCUUGUUGGUCCUUGGGUGUGAUAAUUUAUCUAUGCCUUGACGUGUACCUUCAUGAAGGUUGUGCUGCUUCCAAUGGUCUUUGGACACAUUUAUUAAAGAUUUGAUCUCAAAUCAGGCAGGACUACCCGCUGAACUUAAGCAUAUCAAUAAGCGGAGGA
Molecule: unclassified non-coding RNA, 379 nt
Filed under: soil metagenome
Description: partial contains 5.8S ribosomal RNA, internal transcribed spacer 2, and large subunit ribosomal RNA
Rfam family: 5.8S ribosomal RNA (bases 1-120)
Source: RNAcentral